This 253-nucleotide ribosomal RNA is filed under the name uncultured bacterium. RNAcentral describes it as "partial 16S ribosomal RNA". It matches the Rfam family "Bacterial small subunit ribosomal RNA", at positions 524 to 776 of the family's 1533-position model. The record is from RNAcentral.
UACGGAGGGUGCAAGCGUUGUCCGGAUUUAUUGGGUUUAAAGGGUGCGUAGGCGGCUGUUUAAGUCAGCGGUGAACGUUUUGGGCUCAACCCAGAAAUUGCCAUUGAUACGGGACAGCUUGAGUAUUGGAGGGGUACAUGGAAUUGAUGGUGUAGCGGUGAAAUGCAUAGAUACCAGCAGGAACACCGAUAGCGAAGGCAUUGUACUGGCCAAUAACUGACGCUGAGGCACGAAAGCAUGGGUAGCGAACAGG